This 433-nucleotide ribosomal RNA is filed under the name uncultured Legionella sp. RNAcentral's name for it is "bacterial SSU rRNA". It matches the Rfam family "Bacterial small subunit ribosomal RNA", at positions 440 to 871 of the family's 1533-position model. The record is from RNAcentral. Lineage: Bacteria; Pseudomonadati; Pseudomonadota; Gammaproteobacteria; Legionellales; Legionellaceae.
GAGGGUUGAUAGGUUAAGAGCUGAUGAACUGGACGUUACCCACAGAAGAAGCACCGGCUAACUCCGUGCCAGCAGCCGCGGUAAUACGGAGGGUGCGAGCGUUAAUCGGAAUUACUGGGCGUAAAGGGUGCGUAGGUGGUUUAAUAAGUUAGCUGUGAAAUCCCUGGGCUUAACCUGGGCAGGUCAGCUAAGACUGUUAGACUAGAGUAUAGGAGAGGGUAGUGGAAUUUCCGGUGUAGCGGUGAAAUGCGUAGAGAUCGGAAGGAACACCAGUGGCGAAGGCGUCUACCUGGCCGGAUACUGACACUGAGGCACGAAAGCGUGGGGAGCAAACAGGAUUAGAUACCCUGGUAGUCCACGCUGUAAACGAUGUCAACUAGCUGUUGGUCAUAUGAAGAUGAUUAGUGGCGGAGCAAACGCGAUAAGUUGACCA